AGAGUUUGAUCCUGGCUCAGGACGAACGCUGGCGGCGUGCUUAACACAUGCAAGUCGAACGAUUCCUGGUCUUCGGGCCGGGUUUAGUGGCGAACGGGUGAGUAACACGUGGGCAACCUGCCCCCUACUCUGGGAUAACUCCGGGAAACCGGGGCUAAUACUGGAUAUUACUCUGGUCUGCAUGGGCUGGGGUGGAAAGU
This 200-nucleotide ribosomal RNA is filed under the name uncultured bacterium. RNAcentral's name for it is "partial 16S ribosomal RNA". It matches the Rfam family "Bacterial small subunit ribosomal RNA", at positions 8 to 208 of the family's 1533-position model. The record is from RNAcentral.